This 350-nucleotide ribosomal RNA is filed under the name uncultured bacterium. RNAcentral describes it as "bacterial SSU rRNA". It matches the Rfam family "Bacterial small subunit ribosomal RNA", at positions 355 to 717 of the family's 1533-position model. The record is from RNAcentral.
UGGGGAAUAUUGCACAAUGGGCGCAAGCCUGAUGCAGCAACGCCGCGUGGGGGACGAAGGCCUUCGGGUUGUAAACCUCUUUUGGCAGGGAAGAAGCGAAAGUGACGGUACCUGCAGAAAAAGCACCGGCUAACUACGUGCCAGCAGCCGCGGUAAUACGUAGGGUGCAAGCGUUGUCCGGAAUUAUUGGGCGUAAAGAGCUCGUAGGCGGUGUGUCACGUCUGCUGUGAAAAUCCAAGGCUCAACCUUGGACUUGCAGUGGGUACGGGCACACUCGAGUGCGGUAGGGGAGAUUGGAAUUCCUGGUGUAGCGGUGGAAUGCGCAGAUAUCAGGAGGAACACCGAUGGCG